This 425-nucleotide ribosomal RNA is filed under the name uncultured bacterium. RNAcentral describes it as "partial 16S ribosomal RNA". It matches the Rfam family "Bacterial small subunit ribosomal RNA", at positions 354 to 796 of the family's 1533-position model. The record is from RNAcentral.
GUUAGGAAUAUUGGACAAUGGGCGCAAGCCUGAUCCAGCCAUGCCGCGUGAACGAUGAAGGCCUUCGGGUUGUAAAGUUCUUUAGCCGAUGAUUAUAAUGACUGUAGUCGGAAAAUAAGCCCCGGCUAACUUCGUGCCAGCAGCCGCGGUAAUACGAAGGGGGCGAGCGUUAUUCGGAAUCACUGGGCGUAAAGCGUGCGUAGGCGGUCUCGUAAGUUAGGAGUGAAAGCCCAGGGCUCAACCUAGGAAUUGCUCUUAAUACUGCAAGGCUAGAAUCUCGGAGAGGAUAGCGGAAUUUCAAGUGUAGCAGUGAAAUGCGUAGAUAUUGGAAGGAACACCAGUGGCGUAAGCGGCUAUCUGGACGAGUAUUGACGCUGAGGCACGAAAGCGUGGGGAUCAAACAGGAUUAGAAACCCGUGUAGUCC